AUACGGAGGGUCCAAGCGUUAUCCGGAUUCAUUGGGUUUAAAGGGUCCGCAGGCGGGAAAAUAAGUCAGUGGUGAAAGCCUACAGCUCAACUGUAGAACUGCCAUAGAAACUGUUUUUCUUGAGUAUAGAUGAAGUGGGCGGAAUAUAUCAUGUAGCGGUGAAAUGCAUAGAUAUGAUAUAGAACACCGAUUGCGAAGGCAGCUCACUAAACUAUUACUGACGCUCAGGGACGAAAGCGUGGGGAGCGAACAGGAUUAGAAACCCUAGUAGUCC
Molecule: ribosomal RNA, 274 nt
Filed under: uncultured bacterium
Lineage: Bacteria
Description: partial 16S ribosomal RNA
Rfam family: Bacterial small subunit ribosomal RNA
Source: RNAcentral